CAGGGGCCACUCGGGUCAGGAAAGAUGUGGACACUCACCAUGGAUCGUGGGCUGAGCUGGCUGCUCCUCCUGGCUCUUCUAGGGGGUGUCCGGUGUGAGGAGAAGCUGGUGGAGUCUGGGGGAGAUUUGGUGCAGCCUGGGGGAUCUCUCAGACUCUCCUGUGUAACCUCGGGAUUCACCUUCAGCAACUGCUACAUAAACUGGGUCCGCCAGGCCCUAGGGAAGGGGCUACAGUGGGUUGCAAGAAUUUAUGCUGAUGGUGGUAGCAUAUACUACGCGGACUCCGUGAAGGGCCGAUUCACCAUCUCCAGCGACAAAGCCAAGAACACAGUUUAUCUGCAGAUGAACAGCCUGAAGCCCGAGGACACGGCCGUGUAUUUCUGUGCGAGAGAGGCACAGUGA
Condylura cristata (star-nosed mole) is the source of this 402-nucleotide non-coding RNA. NCBI's taxonomy places the organism in Eukaryota, Metazoa, Chordata, Mammalia, Eulipotyphla, Talpidae. The record is from the annotation of a RefSeq genome assembly.